GUUAAAACAACCGUUCCCGUAUGAUCGUAGACGUUAAGCAAAGUCGAACCUGGUCAGUAUCUAGAUGGGUGACCACUUGGGAAACCAGAUAUUGCAAG
Acanthosepion pharaonis is the source of this 98-nucleotide non-coding RNA. Lineage: Eukaryota; Metazoa; Mollusca; Cephalopoda; Sepiida; Sepiidae. The record is from the annotation of a GenBank genome assembly.